RNAcentral lists this ribosomal RNA (253 nucleotides) under uncultured microorganism. Its description in RNAcentral is "partial 16S ribosomal RNA". It matches the Rfam family "Bacterial small subunit ribosomal RNA", at positions 524 to 776 of the family's 1533-position model. The record is from RNAcentral.
AACGUAGGGGGCGAGCGUUGUCCGGAAUUACUGGGCGUAAAGAGCUCGUAGGCGGUAGUUCAAGUCAGGUGUGAAAUCCGACGGCUUAACCGGAGGGCUGCACCUGAUACUGGGCUGCUAGAGGUAAGGAGAGGAAGGUGGAAUUUCCUGUGUAGCGGUGAAAUGCGUAGAUAUAGGAAGGAACACCAGUGGCGAAGGCGACCACCUGGGCUAAUACUGACACUGAGGUGCGAGAGCGUGGGGAGCAAACAGG